AUUUAUAUAGUUUAACAAAAACAUUACAUUUUCACUGUAAAAAUAAAAUUUUCUUUUUAUAAAUU
This 65-nucleotide transfer RNA is filed under the name Bactrocera latifrons. RNAcentral's name for it is "tRNA-Glu". The record is from RNAcentral. Lineage: Eukaryota; Metazoa; Arthropoda; Insecta; Diptera; Tephritidae.